GACGAACGCUGGCGGCGUGGAUUAGGCAUGCAAGUCGAACGGUAUCAUCCUUUCGGGGGUGAGAGAGUGGCGAACUGGUGAGUAACACGUAGGUUAUCUACCCUCAAGACGGGGACAACCCAGGGAAACUUGGGCUAAUACCGGAUGUGAGCAACUUUUAGUUGUUUGAAAGGUGGCGUAAGCUGUCGCUUGGGGAUGAGCCUGCGUCCUAUUAGUUAGUUGGUGAGGUAACGGCUCACCUUAGGCAAUGAUAGGUAGGCGGCCUUAACGGGUGGUCGCCCACACUGGGAUUGAGAUACGGCCCAGACUCCUACGGGAGGCAGCAGUCGAGAAUAGUCUACAAUGGUCGGAAGACUGAUAGUGCGACGCCGCGUGAACGAUGAAUCCCUUCGGGGUGUAAAGUUCUUUUAUAUGUGAGCAGUGCUUCUUAUAUUAACAGUAUGGGGAAGAGAGAUAUUAGCAGUAUGAAUAAGCAACGGCUAACUCCGUGCCCAGCAGCCGCGGU
RNAcentral lists this ribosomal RNA (505 nucleotides) under uncultured bacterium. RNAcentral describes it as "bacterial SSU rRNA". It matches the Rfam family "Bacterial small subunit ribosomal RNA", at positions 28 to 521 of the family's 1533-position model. The record is from RNAcentral.